ACAACAUUUUCAUGCGUUUACUGAAUAUGGACGUUGUCAUCCUGGACGAGACAACUCCCAUCAGUAUAGAAAUGUAUUUGUAUUUGUAUUGACCCUGAAAGCAACAUACCUCCACUGCAUAACAAAGCCACCAGCUUUGAUAUGUCAACUGUCUGUAUUUCAAAAGAGUAAAAGAGACAAAAGAUAUGUUAGUAAGGUUGAGGUUAAGGUCAGGGGUAGGUUUAAGUGUAACAUUAUUUAGCUACAUUAAUACAUGAGUGAAUAAAAUACCUCACAGAGUGUUCAAGCAUGAGUCAGUGGUGUUCGGAGGUGUUUCUCUGACCAGACUGUGGUUGUGCAGUGUGUUGAUGGGCUGGAUAAAGAGCUGGCCCAGGAGGAAAUCCUAAUAGCUCGCUCUCUCUCUCUCUCUCUCUCUCUCCUCUCUCUCUCUCUCUCUCUCUCUCUCUCUCUUUCGCUCUGUGACCAUGUGCUCUGCCGUAUGUCUGUCUCCACUAAAUUACUAUAUAGACAUGAAAUAUAUGAAUUUAAUGGCAAGACAUCAAAUGUGUUUUCCUUGAAGUCUUUUUUCCCCAUUUUCUUUUCAUUUUAAAUUUGUCCCAAUCUUGGUGUUUUGAUGUUUUCCCUUUUGCAUAUCUUUCUUUGUCACAUCAGAUUUGUCCUGAUUUGGAUGUUGUGGCUGGGGAAACCAAAGAGGAAGGCAUAUCAUGCAAAUGUCACGUCAUCAGCUCGGGCCACCAGCCUAAAAUAUUGGAUGCAUUUUGCUUCCAGCUGUCUGGCAAAUGCUGCUCCGCUGACCCGAGAUCAUCCUGACUGUGCUGUUUUAGUGGUUACUCUGACUCCCAGGGGUCAACAGUGGAUCACUUUCUGCCCUCCAGCAGUGAGAGUAGGUGCUAAUGGGUGUAUUCCCGCCAUCUUGCACCCAGUGUUCCUGGGAUAGACUCUGGAUCCACCGUAACCCUGACCAGGAUAAAGUGGUUCAUGAAAAGAUAGGUGAUGCCUCCCUCCCUGGAUACCUACAUUCUCUGAUCACAGGUCUGUGAAGUGGAGUGACAGUGUGGAGCAGUGGCAGUGAUCAGGAGUGGAGUUCUUCCUGCAGGGCUAUUUGGACAGGAGGAGCCUCCGCUGGCCUUCAGAGCUGGAAAGUAUGUGUACUGUGGCCACUGGCCCACCUCCCAGCCUGGGAACGGAAGCCGGGAGUCGCCAGGGAAAACAACUAGACAAUCAGGUAGGAGAGAGAGAGGGAGAGGGAAAGAACAGCACAAGAGAGAGAACAUACGCAGGGAAAGUUAAGAGCUUUCUCAAGUGUAGUUGUGGUUUUGAAACAAUUUUCACUGGCUAUUUUGGUUCUUACUGUAUAGUAAUCAGGAGUGUGUAAGUGUGCAUGUGUGUGUAAAUGUAUGUAUUGUUUUCCUGACCUGGUUCACUGUGUGUUGAAAGCUGAUCCUGUAACAGAGCGUUUGUACAGCGUGUGUGUGAGGGGUGUUGUUUUGGGGAGCAAGUAGGUAUUAUUGUCUUUGUGCCUUUGUGAAGUUUUUACAUCGAUUAUAAUAUAAUAAUAUAAAAGGAAAUUGUUUGUGCUUUUUAGUUUUUCAAAUAAAAGUAACAUUUCUGGUGUAUAAAACUAUUUAUAACUGUGUGUGGGUGUGGGUGUAUGUGUGUCUGUGUGUGUGUAAAUAGUGACAGUAGCCAGCAAGGGACACAGUGGGUUCAGGCCAGGUGAAUAGGAGCAGCCUGUUUCCAACAGAGGGUCCUGCUGUCCUGCACGUACAUCAUGUUUGAGUGGGGGUCUCUCUCACUAUCUCUCACUCUCACUCACGUUUUACUCUCUCAAUUUCUUUCUGAGCUGAAGGAUGAAUGCCUCAGAACUGAAUGGAAAUGAUGAAUGAUGAAUGGUGGAAUAAGGUAGUAGUGAAUGAAAGGAUUGUGGGAAUGUAGGGAAUGAAUGAAAGCCUGGAAAUAAUAAAUGGUUUUAAAGGCAAAAUUGGGCUGCAUUCAAACUCUGCAAAAAAUAACUGAAUGGUUUGAACACAUGAGUGUCUGAGUGCAAGAAAUAAUUACGAGCAGUAUAUUAUUAGCUUGGGAACAUGGUGUUGCACAGCGCAUUAAACAUAAAGUAUGAUUAUACUGUACAUGUGAUCAUACAUGUAAUUUAUUAAUUCUGGUGCUUGCACUUGUUAGUUCAAUUCACCCUAUAGUGCACUAUUUGGGUGUCGUAUAUUUGUAGUGUUGUAUAUGUAUUUUCACUGGACGAACGUUUUUUUUUACAAAUAAUUAACUAUAUUAUUCUCUUUAAAGCAAGGAAUAAGUAUGACAAGGGAAAGCGAUUUCUUUUAGCUUGGCAUGGUUGCUGGAGCAGCUAACAAUAAUAUAAAUAUAUUAUUGUUAUUUAACCACCGAUGAAGCCAACAUGUACUGUACAUGUUCUGUUUUUCUGGUUUCAGUUCGCAAACUAGGCCUACUUUCAUUCUAAUAACAUACUGAAUAACAUUCACUCCCAAGUAAGUGUACUCCAAAUUUAGUCCAGUGUCUCCCUAUUGCUGCCCUAUACACAGCUGCUACAGUGAAAGAGUGAGUGAGAGAAUGAUUUCAAACAAACAUUGCAAUAAGAGAUGGCAUAAAUCAGUUAAUAAAAAAAUAAGAUAAUAGAAUCUACCUAGUUUUCAAAUCUCAUUUGUCAUUAAAAACACUCCAUUUGCAAAUAUAUUAAAAUGUGUAAUUACAGGAAAUACUUUUCAUUAAGUGCACUGAUUAAUUGCUAUGGAAUAAGUGAUGGUGGUGUUUGUUGACGAUGAGUAAAGAGGAUGUUCUGGCAGAUAGAGCGAACGUUGCGGCGGUUUUGGCUAGGCAGUGUAGAAGAGAGAGUGAAAAAGAGGGGUGUAGAGAUAAAUGUCGCUAUUGUAUGAAUAUAUGCACUCUCGUGCAACAGAAAUGAUCAAGCACAGCACAUAUUAAAAAACACUCCACAGUUCAGAAUUGAGAAGGGUUCAAAAAAUUGUUUUGCCAAAAUAAGCUUGUCAUUUAUUUGCAGUGUUCAGUAUAUUACAAGAGCAUAGCACGUUUUCAUCACAUUUGUGUCUUUUUCUUUUUUCUUUUUUUUUUGCUAUGCUGUGCUGUAGGAUCAUUUGUACUUCCAAAUGGCCAGUGAUCAUGGAGCAA
Molecule: long non-coding RNA, 3156 nt
Organism: Ictalurus punctatus (channel catfish)
Lineage: Eukaryota; Metazoa; Chordata; Actinopteri; Siluriformes; Ictaluridae
Source: Ensembl